Molecule: ribosomal RNA, 1373 nt
Filed under: uncultured bacterium
Lineage: Bacteria
Description: bacterial SSU rRNA
Rfam family: Bacterial small subunit ribosomal RNA
Source: RNAcentral
GAUGAACGCUGGCGGCGUGCCUAAUACAUGCAAGUCGAGCGAACGGACGAGAAGCUUGCUUCUCUGAUGUUAGCGGCGGACGGGUGAGUAACACGUGGAUAACCUACCUAUAAGACUGGGAUAACUUCGGGAAACCGGAGCUAAUACCGGAUAAUAUUUUGAACCGCGUGGUUCAAAAGUGAAAGACGGUCUUGCUGUCACUUAUAGAUGGAUCCGCGCCGCAUUAGCUAGUUGGUAAGGUAACGGCUUACCAAGGCAACGAUGCAUAGCCGACCUGAGAGGGUGAUCGGCCACACUGGAACUGAGACACGGUCCAGACUCCUACGGGAGGCAGCAGUAGGGAAUCUUCCGCAAUGGGCGAAAGCCUGACGGAGCAACGCCGCGUGAGUGAUGAAGGUCUUCGGAUCGUAAAACUCUGUUAUUAGGGAAGAACAUAUGUGUAAGUAACUGUGCACAUCUUGACGGUACCUAAUCAGAAAGCCACGGCUAACUACGUGCCAGCAGCCGCGGUAAUACGUAGGUGGCAAGCGUUAUCCGGAAUUAUUGGGCGUAAAGCGCGCGUAGGCGGUUUUUUAAGUCUGAUGUGAAAGCCCACGGCUCAACCGUGGAGGGUCAUUGGAAACUGGAAAACUUGAGUGCAGAAGAGGAAAGUGGAAUUCCAUGUGUAGCGGUGAAAUGCGCAGAGAUAUGGAGGAACACCAGUGGCGAAGGCGACUUUCUGGGUCUGUAACUGACGCUGAUGUGCGAAAGCGUGGGGAUCAAACAGGAUUAGAUACCCUGGUAGUCCACGCCGUAAACGAUGAGUGCUAAGUGUUAGGGGGUUUCCGCCCCUUAGUGCUGCAGCUAACGCAUUAAGCACUCCGCCUGGGGAGUACGACCGCAAGGUUGAAACUCAAAGGAAUUGACGGGGACCCGCACAAGCGGUGGAGCAUGUGGUUUAAUUCGAAGCAACGCGAAGAACCUUACCAAAUCUUGACAUCCUUUGACAACUCUAGAGAUAGAGCCUUCCCCUUCGGGGGACAAAGUGACAGGUGGUGCAUGGUUGUCGUCAGCUCGUGUCGUGAGAUGUUGGGUUAAGUCCCGCAACGAGCGCAACCCUUAAGCUUAGUUGCCAUCAUUAAGUUGGGCACUCUAAGUUGACUGCCGGUGACAAACCGGAGGAAGGUGGGGAUGACGUCAAAUCAUCAUGCCCCUUAUGAUUUGGGCUACACACGUGCUACAAUGGACAAUACAAAGGGCAGCGAAACCGCGAGGUCAAGCAAAUCCCAUAAAGUUGUUCUCAGUUCGGAUUGUAGUCUGCAACUCGACUACAUGAAGCUGGAAUCGCUAGUAAUCGUAGAUCAGCAUGCUACGGUGAAUACGUUCCCGGGUCU